RNAcentral lists this long non-coding RNA (660 nucleotides) under Ananas comosus (pineapple). Its description in RNAcentral is "long non-coding RNA (ACOM_LNC017571)". Lineage: Eukaryota; Viridiplantae; Streptophyta; Magnoliopsida; Poales; Bromeliaceae. The record is from RNAcentral.
AAACUUAAAACGCACCCAAUAAUACAAUAUUUGAACUUGGUCUUCAAAAAGGCAUAGUCUACAAAUCCACAGGGUGAUCUGAAGUGCCAAUCUUCACCUUUCCAUCAACACCUUUUGCAACCUCUGUUACAUCAGAAUAAUACAUAUCAUAACUUGCCACAGAACGAAUCUCUUGGAGAGAUCAAAUUUCUCAAUUUUAGUGAACGCUAGAAUGAGACAUUCGGCUUUGGUACUAGUUUGUUAUGAUAAAAGAAGAAAAGAACUAGUUCGUCGAAUGUGAAAAUGUCUAAAGAGAAGAAAAAUAAAGUACAUAAAUAAAUUACACGGUUCGUCCAUUGGUCUACAUCCAUUGGCGAAGAUAGAGUGGGGACCUUCAUUGUAAUCCAAACAAAGUACAAAAGAUGCCUCUAUUACAAAACCCUAACCUGAUAAUACACCCCAUACUCUCUAUCCUCUGCUGCAACCAAAUCAAUAAAAUGAAAAGUAUAUUUAUAUUUGUGGCUAAAUUGCAACAAGACUCGGAGUAAAAUCCAAUAAGAUUAGAAAUAAUCUCAGCUUUACUAAAUGGGAUAAUUAAAAUAGAAUAGGGUUGUGAAAUCUAGCGAUUCUAGAAUUCGAGGCAUAUCUAAUAAAUUUCCACCUUGUGUUAAAUUCUAUCUU